RNAcentral lists this small nuclear RNA (102 nucleotides) under Myotis brandtii (Brandt's bat). Lineage: Eukaryota; Metazoa; Chordata; Mammalia; Chiroptera; Vespertilionidae. The record is from RNAcentral.
CUGCUCGCUUCGGCAGCACAGACACUAACACUGGGACGAUAGAGAUUAGCACGGCCCCUGCGCAAGGAUGACACGCAAAUUCGUGAAGCGUUCCAUAUUUUA